UUCUUUUAUAUGGGAAUAAAGUUUUCCACGUGUGGAAUUUUGUAUGUACCAUAUGAAUAAGGAUCGGCUAACUCCGUGCCAGCAGCCGCGGUAAUACGGAGGAUCCGAGCGUUAUCCGGAUUUAUUGGGUUUAAAGGGAGCGUAGGUGGACAGUUAAGUCAGUUGUGAAAGUUUGCGGCUCAACCGUAAAAUUGCAGUUGAUACUGGCUGUCUUGAGUACAGUAGAGGUGGGCGGAAUUCGUGGUGUAGCGGUGAAAUGCUUAGAUAUCACGAAGAACUCCGAUUGCGAAGGCAGCUCACUGGACUGCAACUGACACUGAUGCUCGAAAGUGUGGGUAUCAAACAGGAUUAGAUACCCUGGUAGUCCACACAGUAAACGAUGAAUACUCGCUGUUUGCGAUAUACAGUAAGCGGCCAAGCGAAAGCAUUAAGUAUUCCACCUGGGGAGUACGCCGGCAACGGUGAAACUCAAAGGAAUUGACGGGGGCCCGCACAAGCGGAGGAACAUGUGGUUUAAUUCGAUGAUACGCGAGGAACCUUACCCGGGCUUAAAUUGCAUUUGAAUAUAUUGGAAACAGUAUAGCCGUAAGGCAAAUGUGAAGGUGCUGCAUGGUUGUCGUCAGCUCGUGCCGUGAGGUGUCGGCUUAAGUGCCAUAACGAGCGCAACCCUUAUCUUUAGUUACUAACAGGUCAUGCUGAGGACUCUAGAGAGACUGCCGUCGUAUGAUGUGAGGAAGGUGGGGAUGACGUCAAAUCAGCACGGCCCUUACGUCCGGGGCUACACACGUGUUACAAUGGGGGGUACAGAAGGCAGCUACCUGGUGACAGGAUGCUAAUCCCAAAAGCCUCUCUCAGUUCGGAUCGAAGUCUGCAACCCGACUUCGUGAAGCUGGAUUCGCUAGUAAUCGCGCAUCAGCCAUGGCGCGGUGAAUACGUUCCCGGGCCUUGUACUCGCUGCACGUCAAGCCAUGAAAGCCGGGGGUACCCGAAGUACGUAACCGCAAGGAGCGUCCUAGGGUAAAACUGGUAAUUGGGGCUAA
RNAcentral lists this ribosomal RNA (1040 nucleotides) under uncultured bacterium. RNAcentral describes it as "bacterial SSU rRNA". It matches the Rfam family "Bacterial small subunit ribosomal RNA", at positions 431 to 1484 of the family's 1533-position model. The record is from RNAcentral.